RNAcentral lists this transfer RNA (69 nucleotides) under Scolopocryptops sp. 1 YG-2013. Its description in RNAcentral is "tRNA-Trp". The record is from RNAcentral. Lineage: Eukaryota; Metazoa; Arthropoda; Chilopoda; Scolopendromorpha; Cryptopidae.
AAGAUUUUAAGUUAUACAAACUAUAAACCUUCAAAGUUUAAAAAUUAUAAGUCUUGGAUCAAACUCAUC